This 301-nucleotide ribosomal RNA is filed under the name uncultured bacterium. RNAcentral describes it as "partial 16S ribosomal RNA". It matches the Rfam family "Bacterial small subunit ribosomal RNA", at positions 509 to 808 of the family's 1533-position model. The record is from RNAcentral.
CAGUCGCCGCGGUAAUACGUAGGGUGCGAGCGUUAAUCGGAAUUACUGGGCGUAAGCGUGCGCAGGCGGUUAUAUAAGUCAGAUGUGAAAUCCCCGGGCUCAACUCUGGAACUGCCUUUGAUACUGUCGAUCUGGAGUAUGGAAGAGGUGAGUGGAACUCCGAGUGUAGAGGUGAAAUUCGUAGAUAUUCGGAGGAACACCAGUGGCGAAGGCGGCUCACUGGUCCAUUACUGACGCUGAGGUGCGAAAGCGUGGGGGGCAAACAGGAUUAGAUACCCCCGUAGUCCCUGUCUCUUAUACA